This 256-nucleotide ribosomal RNA is filed under the name uncultured bacterium. RNAcentral describes it as "partial 16S ribosomal RNA". It matches the Rfam family "Bacterial small subunit ribosomal RNA", at positions 521 to 776 of the family's 1533-position model. The record is from RNAcentral.
UAAUACAGAGGGUGCGAGCGUUAAUCGGAAUUACUGGGCGUAAAGGGUGCGUAGGUGGCUACGUAAGUUAGGUGUGAAAUUCCCGGGCUUAACCUGGGGACUGCGCCUGAUACUGCGAGGCUAGAGUACUGUAGAGGAAGGUGGAAUUUCCAGUGUAGCGGUGAAAUGCGUAGAUAUUGGAAGGAACAUCGGUGGCGAAGGCGACCUUCUGGACAGAUACUGACACUGAGGCACGAAAGCAUGGGGAGCAAACAGG